AACUUACUUUUUUCUGCAGCAUAUUCUUUUUCAAUGACAAGGCAUCGGUUCAUGAUGCUUACAUGCGACGGCUUGAAUUCAACUAGCUCUUCAUAGGAAGCUUCACCCUUCUUAUUCAAUAAUAUAUAUUUGUAUCCACAUCUCCUGGAGGCAAGCCGUAGUGGAACCUUAACCUCACCGCGUAACAGCCAUUGUUUGUCACAAUGU
Non-coding RNA from Paramuricea clavata, 207 nucleotides. Lineage: Eukaryota; Metazoa; Cnidaria; Anthozoa; Malacalcyonacea; Plexauridae. The record is from the annotation of a GenBank genome assembly.